RNAcentral lists this ribosomal RNA (497 nucleotides) under uncultured bacterium. RNAcentral's name for it is "partial 16S ribosomal RNA". It matches the Rfam family "Bacterial small subunit ribosomal RNA", at positions 28 to 507 of the family's 1533-position model. The record is from RNAcentral.
GAUGAACGCUGGCGGCGUGCCUAAUACAUGCAAGUCGAGCAAACAGAUGAGGAGCUUGCUCCUCUGACGUUAGCGGCGGACGGGUGAGUAACACGUGGAUAACCUACCUAUAAGACUGGGAUAACUUCGGGAAACCGGAGCUAAUACCGGAUAAUAUAUUGAACCGCAUGGUUCAAUAGUGAAAGACGGUUUUGCUGUCACUUAUAGAUGGAUCCGCGCCGCAUUAGCUAGUUGGUAAGGUAACGGCUUACCAAGGCAACGAUGCGUAGCCGGCCUGAGAGGGUGAUCGGCCACACUGGAACUGAGACACGGUCCAGACUCCUACGGGAGGCAGCAGUAGGGAAUCUUCCGCAAUGGGCGAAAGCUUGACGGAGCAACGCCGCGUGAGUGAUGAAGGUCUUCGGAUCGUAAAACUCUGUUAUUAGGGAAGAACAAAUGUGUAAGUAACUAUGCACGUCUUGACGGUACCUAAUCAGAAAGCAACGGCUAACUACGUG